UCAAGAGACAAACACAUGAAUAAGCAAGAUCGUUCCUGAGAGUGGUUAAGGGUUUUGAAGAAAACAAAAGAGGGAGAUGUGGUAAAGAAUGGAAUGGCUGGGAUGAGGGCGUCCCCCUGCAGAGAAAGUGAUCCAGGGAGGCCUCUCUGAGGAGGUGACCUUCAGCUGAGAUCACAAGAUGAGAAGGAGCCAGCUUUACAGUUCUCAGGAGAAGGAGUAGCCAGUGCAAAGCUCCUGAGGUGGAGAGACUUGGAGCUGUUCAAAGCACAGCAAGAGGACUAGACGGAGCUGGAGCACAGGAUGAACAGGAAAGUGAUAAAGACGAGGCUGGAGAAGCGGAGUCCAGAUCACGGAGGACCCAGAGUUCCAGGCCUUGUGGUUUUGUUUCUGGAGAAUGGGGCCAUUGGGUGGAGUUGAUGACAAGGAAUCCCAAGGAGUAAAGUAGGAGGCCUGUGGGAAAGGAGAUGAAAACCAGCCAAGUGUCCAAGUCCUGUUGCAAAAAGAGAAAAAAGAAGAAGAAAAAGAAGAAGAAGGAAGAGGAGGAGGAGGAGGAGGAGGAAACACCAGUACCAGCAGAUUGUGCUCUGGGUGUAAGUCUAAGAACCUGUGCUCAGCCCUACUGUCCAUAGUUUGUCUGCUGUGGUCGUCUCGGGAAGUGGAAGUGUAAACUGACUACAGAAACGUAGGCCAGAACUGAGGGCCCACGUGAGAUUCGGGGGCAGGAGGCAAAGCGAUGGGAGAGGGAAGAGGCUUCAAGUUCCUUUCUACUCCCUGGAAGGGACUCUGUGGGGUACAAACUCCUUCCCCUUCUAGCUUGAGUGACAUGGACACAGAAGACAGUCACCUUGGCCUUAGGACCACAGGCCUAGGCUUCUCCCUUCCUCAAGAAUACUCACAGACCCUGAAAAAAAUAGCCUUUUUAUUCCCCCAGAUCUUUACCCAUACCAGUGUGCUUUCACAGCAUCCGGGACUGACUUCUCACAACAAUUCUGUAAGGAAGCUAUUACUAUCCCCUUUUACAGAAGAUACAACUGAGGACCAGAGAAGGGCUGGAACUAAAUACAAAUCUCCUGACAUCCAGAGUGAUGAUGAUUCUUCUCCACCAGCUGACGCUGAAUUUCCACCGCCAAUUAUUGCUUGAGGUCAAUGAUUCUCAAAGGAUGGUCUAAGGAACGCCCAGAUGUCCCCCAGACCUUUUCAACAGGGCUUCAAGGUCAAAGCUAUUUCCUUAAUAAUACUAAGACCUUAUUUGCCUUUUC
Long non-coding RNA from Mustela lutreola (European mink), 1259 nucleotides. RefSeq lists it as uncharacterized. The record is from RefSeq and is a predicted model, not a curated record. The transcript is spliced from 3 exons. NCBI's taxonomy places the organism in Eukaryota, Metazoa, Chordata, Mammalia, Carnivora, Mustelidae.